This is a long non-coding RNA of Zingiber officinale, 251 nucleotides long. RefSeq lists it as uncharacterized. The transcript has 3 exons. NCBI's taxonomy places the organism in Eukaryota, Viridiplantae, Streptophyta, Magnoliopsida, Zingiberales, Zingiberaceae. The record is from RefSeq and is a predicted model, not a curated record.
AGUGAAGUAAAGUAGAGCAUUCUACAGAGCACCCCAUCUGCUAGAAUCGACAUCAUACAGAUAGAACUCAGUUCGCUCAAGUCCGUCCGAGCCUUCGCCGAGAAGUUUCUUGCCAUGGAUCUUCCUCUAAACAUCUUGAUAAACAAUGCCGGCGUCAUGUACUGUCCGUUUCAACUUUCGGAGGAUGGGAUAGAGAUGCAGUUUACUACCAAUCAUGUCGGUCAUUUUCUGCUGACCAAACUUCUACUUAA